UACGGAGGGAGCUAGCGUUGUUCGGAAUUACUGGGCGUAAAGCGCGCGUAGGCGGCUUUGUAAGUUAGAGGUGAAAGCCCGGGGUUCAACCCCGGAAUUGCCUUUAAGACUGCAUCGCUUGAAUCCGGGAGAGGUGAGUGGAAUUCCGAGUGUAGAGGUGAAAUUCGUAGAUAUUCGGAAGAACAUCAGUGGCGAAGGCGGCUCACUGGACCGGCAUUGACGCUGAGGUGCGAAAGCGUGGGGAGCAAACAGG
This 253-nucleotide ribosomal RNA is filed under the name uncultured bacterium. RNAcentral describes it as "partial 16S ribosomal RNA". It matches the Rfam family "Bacterial small subunit ribosomal RNA", at positions 524 to 776 of the family's 1533-position model. The record is from RNAcentral.